UACGUAGGGUGCGAGCGUUAAUCGGAAUUACUGGGCGUAAAGCGUGCGCAGGCGGUUCGUCGUGUCGGCGGUGAAAGCCCCGGGCUCAACCUGGGAAUGGCCGUUGAAACUGGCGAACUGGAGUGUGGCAGAGGGGGGUGGAAUUCCGCGUGUAGCAGUGAAAUGCGUAGAGAUGCGGAGGAACACCGAUGGUGAAGGCAGCCCCCUGGGCUAACACUGACGCUCAGGCACGAAAGCGUGGGGAGCAAACAGG
This 253-nucleotide ribosomal RNA is filed under the name uncultured bacterium. RNAcentral describes it as "partial 16S ribosomal RNA". It matches the Rfam family "Bacterial small subunit ribosomal RNA", at positions 524 to 776 of the family's 1533-position model. The record is from RNAcentral.